RNAcentral lists this ribosomal RNA (929 nucleotides) under Salmonella enterica subsp. enterica serovar Kentucky. Its description in RNAcentral is "bacterial LSU rRNA". It matches the Rfam family "Bacterial large subunit ribosomal RNA", at positions 644 to 1576 of the family's 2925-position model. The record is from RNAcentral. Lineage: Bacteria; Pseudomonadati; Pseudomonadota; Gammaproteobacteria; Enterobacterales; Enterobacteriaceae.
GGUUAACCGUAUAGGGGAGCCGAAGGGAAACCGAGUCUUAACUGGGCGUUAAGUUGCAGGGUAUAGACCCGAAACCCGGUGAUCUAGCCAUGGGCAGGUUGAAGGUUGGGUAACACUAACUGGAGGACCGAACCGACUAAUGUUGAAAAAUUAGCGGAUGACUUGUGGCUGGGGGUGAAAGGCCAAUCAAACCGGGAGAUAGCUGGUUCUCCCCGAAAGCUAUUUAGGUAGCGCCUCGUGAACUCAUCUUCGGGGGUAGAGCACUGUUUCGGCUAGGGGGUCAUCCCGACUUACCAACCCGAUGCAAACUGCGAAUACCGAAGAAUGUUAUCACGGGAGACACACGGCGGGUGCUAACGUCCGUCGUGAAGAGGGAAACAACCCAGACCGCCAGCUAAGGUCCCAAAGUCAUGGUUAAGUGGGAAACGAUGUGGGAAGGCCCAGACAGCCAGGAUGUUGGCUUAGAAGCAGCCAUCAUUUAAAGAAAGCGUAAUAGCUCACUGGUCGAGUCGGCCUGCGCGGAAGAUGUAACGGGGCUAAACCAUGCACCGAAGCUGCGGCAGCGACGCUGAUGCGUUGUUGGGUAGGGGAGCGUUCUGUAAGCCUGUGAAGGUGGCCUGUGAGGGUUGCUGGAGGUAUCAGAAGUGCGAAUGCUGACAUAAGUAACGAUAAUGCGGGUGAAAAGCCCGCUCGCCGGAAGACCAAGGGUUCCUGUCCAACGUUAAUCGGGGCAGGGUGAGUCGACCCCUAAGGCGAGGCCGAAAGGCGUAGUCGAUGGGAAACGGGUUAAUAUUCCCGUACUUGGUGUUACUGCGAAGGGGGGACGGAGAAGGCUAUGUUGGCCGGGCGACGGUUGUCCCGGUUUAAGCGUGUAGGCUGGUUUUCCAGGCAAAUCCGGAAAAUCAAGGCUGAGGCGUGAUGACGAGGCA